GCCAUUAUUGUGGCUUAAGGGAAUUGCACUAACUAUUCAGACUAAAAAAGCCAUUCCCUAAAUCUUGUAUAUAGUUUUUGAACACAAAAUUAUUGCUCGACUAAUGAGUAAUCACUGCAUCUCGCAUGGUAUGUGUGAACAUUGUCAAGGCUGACGUUGAAGGUAUGCAUUUGAUGCAAUUGCAUAGAGCCACAUAAUUAUAGCUCUACUAGCAAAGUAAUCGCACGAAUGAUGCUUUUUAUUUUUCUUUUUUUAAAGACAUGAGUUUUUGAAAGUUGAAGUAUUUUUAAGUAUAAAUUUAGUGUUUUACUUUUACAUUUUAUUUCAUGGCAUAUUAUUUAAAAAGCAAACAAUAAACAUUGAAGUGUUAUAAUUCAUUCUUAAUAGAUUAGGUUAAAUGAAGUUAUAUAAUAGUUUUUACAAAAUUUUUAUGGUUUUCUCAACUAAGUGGAAGAGGUCAAUCUUUUAGAUUUUUUACAAAACUGUCAAAAUCUCAAAAUCGACACUUUUUUAUAUUGUAGGUAUUGAAUUUGACAUAAGGUUACUUCAUUCUCUCUGCAAAUCGAUUAUGCUAGAAUAAUUAACUUGAGCUUCAGCUUCUAAAGUUUAAUUUCAUUACUUCUAUUGCGUAUCUCAAAAAGUUAUCUCAGCAUAUAUUCUAGACAAACAUAUUUAGAUUUUCUUUCAAUCUCACCCUUAACUAGAGCAUGAAAAUUCUAUCAAGAUUUUCAUCCAAUGGAUCAUGAACUUCUAUCUACCUUGAUCGGAUGUAAUUGUGAUAGACCUCAUCACGAAGAUAAUGUUGUGUAUAUUUCUCAUAUAGAGUGGAACAUGGAUUUAUUAAAUGACAUAGGAUGAUGCCAGAGCGAAGUGGAGCGAGAGGAGCAUACGGUAUAUAGGCAUUUUCUUGUACAGACUUUAAAAUCUUGUAUGAGUUUGGGCUAUAAUUAGUAUAAAUACUAAUGAUGUAAC
This 972-nucleotide long non-coding RNA is filed under the name Olea europaea (common olive). RNAcentral describes it as "long non-coding RNA (OEUR_LNC014265)". Lineage: Eukaryota; Viridiplantae; Streptophyta; Magnoliopsida; Lamiales; Oleaceae. The record is from RNAcentral.